GCUGACUUAGCUCAAUGGUAGAGCACUCGCCUUGUAAGCGAAAGGUUGUAAGUUCAAAUCUUAUAGUCAGCA
This is a non-coding RNA of Lingula anatina, 72 nucleotides long. The record is from Rfam. Lineage: Eukaryota; Metazoa; Brachiopoda; Lingulata; Lingulida; Lingulidae.